AGGCAGCAGUGGGGAAUUUUGGGCAAUGGGCGAAAGCCUGACCCAGCAACGCCGCGUGAGGGAUGAAGUAUUUCGGUAUGUAAACCUCGAAAGAAUGGGAAGAAUAGAUGACGGUACCAUUUAUAAGCUCCGGCUAACUACGUGCCAGCAGCCGCGGUAAUACGUAGGGAGCAAGCGUUGUUCGGAUUUACUGGGCGUAAAGGGCGCGUAGGCGGCGCGGUAAGUCACUUGUGAAAUCUCUGAGCUUAACUCAGAACGGCCAAGUGAUACUGCUGUGCUAGAGUGCGGAAGAGGCAACCGGAAUUCUUGGUGUAGCGGUGAAAUGCGUAGAUAUCAAGAGGAACACCUGAGGCGAAGGCGGGUUGCUGGGCCGACACUGACGCUGAUGCGCGAAAGCCAGGGGAGCAAACAGGAUUAGAUACCCCGGUAG
This 430-nucleotide ribosomal RNA is filed under the name uncultured bacterium. RNAcentral describes it as "bacterial SSU rRNA". It matches the Rfam family "Bacterial small subunit ribosomal RNA", at positions 346 to 793 of the family's 1533-position model. The record is from RNAcentral.